This 435-nucleotide ribosomal RNA is filed under the name uncultured bacterium. RNAcentral's name for it is "partial 16S ribosomal RNA". It matches the Rfam family "Bacterial small subunit ribosomal RNA", at positions 29 to 507 of the family's 1533-position model. The record is from RNAcentral.
AACGAACGCUGGCGGCAUGCCUAACACAUGCAAGUCGAACGAUUGCCUUCGGGUGAUAGUGGCGCACGGGUGCGUAACGCGUGGGAAUCUGCCCUUAGGUUCGGAAUAACAGCUGGAAACGGCUGCUAAUACCGGAUGAUAUCGCGAGAUCAAAGAUUUAUCGCCUGAGGAUGAGCCCGCGUUGGAUUAGGUAGUUGGUGGGGUAAAGGCCUACCAAGCCGACGAUCCAUAGCUGGUCUGAGAGGAUGAUCAGCCACACUGGGACUGAGACACGGCCCAGACUCCUACGGGAGGCAGCAGUGGGGAAAAUUGGACAAUGGGCGCAAGCCUGAUCCAGCAAUGCCGCGUGAGUGAUGAAGGCCCUAGGGUUGUAAAGCUCUUUUACCCGGGAAGAUAAUGACUGUACCGGGAGAAUAAGCCCCGGCUAACUCCGUG